Molecule: unclassified non-coding RNA, 209 nt
Filed under: Hevea brasiliensis (rubber tree)
Lineage: Eukaryota; Viridiplantae; Streptophyta; Magnoliopsida; Malpighiales; Euphorbiaceae
Source: RNAcentral
AGGACAUAGAAUUCAAGAGGAAGGAAUUCUUAUCUAUUGGUGAGAGGGCUCUUGCAAAUAUAGUUGAAGGCACUCUUUGUGGUGUAGUGUUGUAAUAGAAAAUAUAUUGGGUUAUGUCUUGAGAAGACUGAGAGAGACUAACUAUUAUAUUUACUAUGAGCAGUUUGAUGUUGUAUGGGUUCUAAUUGGGUUGAUGGAUAGUAUAGCUA